AACGCUGGCGGCAGGCCUAAUACAUGCAAGUCGGACGGGAUCCUUCGGCUGGUUGCUACCCCUGGUGGCGGAGGGGCACGGGUGGCUAACGAAUGAGCCACUUGCCGAUAUCCAGCGGAUAGACCGGAAAAAUCCUGAUUAACACCCCCUGACACUGCUUUCCGGCAUCCUUAGGACCUCAAAUAUUCAUAGGAUAUGGAUGGGCUCGCGUGACAUUAGCUAGUUGGGGGGGAAACGGGCCACCAUCUGGACGAUGUCUGAGGGCUCUAACAGGAGAAUCCCCCACACUGGUACUGACACACUCACCCGACUCCUACGGGAGGGGAAUAUUGGGAAUAUUGGUCAAUGGGGGCAACCCUGAGCCAGCCAUGCCGCGUGCGCGACGACUGCCCUAUGGGUUGUAAACUGCUUUUGUGCUGCAAUAAACCCCGCUCCGUGAUACGGGAUGAAUGUCCCUAAAUAAUAACGAUCGGCUAACUCCGUGCCAGCCGCCGCGGUAAUACGGAGGAUCCGAGCGUUCUCCGGAUUUGUUGGGUUUAAAGGGUGCGUAGGCUGCACUUUAAGGAUGGGGUGACCCAGAGCUUCUCUACUGUCUUGCUGCCCUUGAUACUGAACUGCUUGAUUGCGAGAUGAUGACGGAAUAAUGAGACAAGUAGCGGUGAAAUGCAUAGAUAUGUCUCAGAACACCGAUUGCGAAGGCAGCUGUCUAAUACGUUAUUGACUCUGAUGCACGAAAGCGUGGAGAUCGAACAAGUUUAUAUACUCUGGUAGUCCACGCCAAAAAAUAUGAUGACUCGAUGUUUGCGAUAUACCGUAUGCUGCCAAACGUAACGGUAAAGUCAUACACCUGGGG
RNAcentral lists this ribosomal RNA (853 nucleotides) under uncultured bacterium. Its description in RNAcentral is "bacterial SSU rRNA". It matches the Rfam family "Bacterial small subunit ribosomal RNA", at positions 32 to 878 of the family's 1533-position model. The record is from RNAcentral.